Molecule: long non-coding RNA, 4114 nt
Filed under: Homo sapiens (human)
Lineage: Eukaryota; Metazoa; Chordata; Mammalia; Primates; Hominidae
Description: HSALNT0335815
Source: RNAcentral
AUUCCUGCACGUUACUUUUUAACGUAGCUGGCGCCAUUCCCGACCCAUCUUUAUAGUGGCCAGAAAGCCAAGAACAAACACUCCCGCCUUGGAGAAGGGGUUGAGUUCGCAACUCCACUUACAGACUACGGAGGAACCCCAGGGUCAAACCAAACCAAACCAAUUCUGGCCAGUUGCUUAGCGCAGUUCAAGUUACUUAGUGCGCUGGAAGCGGCAUUUCAGGCAAUCCAACUUCUGGCUCGAACCUUCUCGGAGUAUUCCAAGGAUGGAAUACUCUCACUUGAGCGCUGCCGAGGGUGCCGCUUGAGGAAAACGGUCUCACUCCGUCACUCUGCAGGAAUGCAGUGGUGUGAUCAUGGUUCACUGCACCUUGACCUCCUGGGCUCAAGCAUCUUCCCCACUCAGCCUCCCAACAGCAUGAGCCACCAUGCCUGGCUAACAAAUUGAUACCAACUAUCACUCUUCUCAGCUACCUAAAAAGGUGGUCUUCACAAGUUUUAAGAACAUUAAAUGACAAUAUUGGCACAUAAUCAAUAUUUUAUCAUUUUAUAUUUGGAAAAAAACGGGAAGCUGGGGUAAACCAGUUUCUAAAUAAAGCUAAUGAAACUUUAAUUCAUUCAAACACUAUGGUAGUUAUGUUGAUGAUAAGUAAACAUUAUUAUUUAUUUAUACUGUUUCCUGAGGUGAUCCAGAAACUACUGUUAUUAUAGUAGACUUGCUACUAUAUACAUUUACUAUCCCUGCAAAUGUGCUUUGGAAAUAAUAACAAAAAUUUUAAGGUAGACCCAUGUGUAAUUUAACAUGCUUUCUCUGUUACAAAAGCUAUCUUUAGGAAAUUCUUAAGUAUCAAAAAUCCAAUUUAUUCCAUUUUCAGAAGACAAGGAAAAAGCACUCAUAAACUCUAGGCCAUAAAAAAAUAGGUUUCAUAAGUAGCUCCUUUAACAUGAAGAAAAUGACAAUAAAAAUAUCUUACUUGCAUGUUACUUCUGGAAUAAUGUCAAAAAUCUAUGUAGAUCUUUCCAUUUUAAAUGAUGUUAAAAUAGUGUCAGCACUGUGACUGACUCAUAGCAAGUAUGGGUAUCUAUCCAAAUAUUUGUCUUUGAAACAAGAAACAAGUGACCAUCCGAUGAAAAGUGCAUGCCUCUUAACAGUAUCUUUCUGUAAGAAAAAUUAGGUGAUCUAUAUUUACAUUUGGGCAGUGGGGGGAUGAAAACUGCUCUUACCAAGAUGGCUGACUUGAAUAAAGACAGUCAAUAUUUUUCAAAAAAUUCACUGCUCUGGUACUGAGAUCUCCAUGAUAACAGAUUACAGUUAAACAGAAAAUGCUGUGAAAUACCUUUUACAGAACACAGCCUGACUUUGCAGAUUAACUUAAAGAUAUAUUUCUUGAUUAUUUCACUGUUAAAAAUCAAGAAAAACACUACUAACAUUUCAACAUCUUAAAAAUAGAAUUUAUGCAAUGACAUUUUUAAGCUCUGCAUUUUGUAUACUAUUACCGUCUUUAAUUACAGUUAUGUUCAUCCAUAUAUCAAAAGGCAGCACUGGUAACCUUGAUAACAUUAUAUAUGCUUAUGUGUUUAAGACAGUCUUGAUUAAAUAUUUCCAUACCUUAUCUGCAGCCACUAUUCUUAUCCUUUCUUCCCAGGAGGAGAAUGAAGUGGGACUAGGCAUUUACCUGGCACUUGCCUGCACUAUCAUUCAUUGGCACUAAUGAUUAGGAUGCUUGAACCAUGCAGUUUUGUUUCUAUUUCAACAAUAUGACACUGAAGUAGCCAUUAUCUUUUGAUAUUUAAGCCUAAGUAAUAGUAUAUUCUUCAUGCCAAGUUUUGACAGCUCAAUAAUUUGUAUUCUAGAGGGGAAAAAUGAUAUUUUUGCUAUUAUUUAAAAAGAAAAUCAAAAAUGCCAGCUUAAUGCCCCAUUAAAAGCUAAAUUCACCUGAACUUAUUAAUGAUGCUUGCUGAAGACAAAGUGAUUUCAAAACCCCAAAACUGUGUUUAGUAUUUACAAGAAGUAGAAAAAGUAUAUAUUUUUCUGUUAAGAAUAUAAUUCUCUAUCAUUUACAAAUAUAAUUUGGUAAUUUAUAUUUCAAAGCUAUCCUAUGGUCCUAUAUGGAUUAUCAACUUCUAAUUGCCAAUUCUAAAUGUUAUAAUCAUCUAUAUUGGGCCUUGGCCAACCACCUGCAAGUUAUCCUUAACUCCACCAUGAAGAGGGUGCAAGAGAUAUGUUUAUGAAAUGCCUCAAUAUAAUUCUAGUUUUUCAAAACCUCAAGGUAAUAAGCUAACCAGCAGAUUAUUUGUAAACCCACACUACUGAAAUUACAGUGACACCCUUUUAUAUGGUUGAAUUGUAUAAAAUAUGACCAGGGAACUACACCGUAUUAGGUGUUACUUCAUGAAAUUAUGUGUUAUAGCAGUUUCCUAAAUGGUAGUACACAUAUAUACCACUAGAUGGCCCUGAGAUGAUUUUAAGUUAAGUGGUACGUGGAUAAACAAUUUUUAAUAGUUUUACUUUAAUAUUUAUUAUAAAAAUAUAAAAGCACAUAAAACACGGAAUAUGAUUGCUCAAAACAAGACUAAGGUUACAAAAGGCUAAAAAUAUAUUUUUUAAAAUAACCAUGAUAUAGAAUAUGUGAGAGUUCAGGAAGGUGGCAUUACAUUUAGGAAUCACUGUCUCAAGGAAUGAUUUGACUUAGCCAGCAUCAUUUCUGAAUGCUUGUAAUAAUAAGCCACAUCAUAAAGGGGUUUCCUUUCCUACUGUAAAUUCUGGGAAGUUUUUGUACCCCAGAAUAAAUACCUGGAAACAAAAUUCACAUUUAUUUUAAGACUAUGAAUUUUAAAGCAUUGAGUAAAUUUACUUUAAAAGGGUUCACCAAAAUGGUGAAAAAGUUCAGGACCAUUUGAGGAACAUGCUAUUCCUACAGAAGAGGGAAGACUAGAAAGGCACAUUAUAUAUUAUAGUUAUCACUGUGGCAUUCAAAAACAAAUGACCUAAAUAAUCAUUACCAUUAAUAGUUAUAAUACUCUUUCAUAGAAAAGAAGGUAGGCUUGUGCACUAAGUGCUCUUGAUUCUGGAACCACCUGUAAGUAAGUGUCACUAACAUGGACCCACUGGCCUGCUGAUUCAUUAUCAGCCGCUUUCAAACCUAGCAAAACAAAAAGAAGUACAAUUUUAAAGUAAGUAUGCUUUAGGUUCUUACUCUAAAUUACAAACAAUAACAUAUUCAUUACAAACUCUAUCUAAUGCCAAAUUUUACCUGAGAAGCCUGUUUUUUCUUGGGUUAAGCAUUUUCCAAAAAGAACUUUUUUUUUUUUAAAUUAUAUUUUUAAGUUCUGGAAUAUCUGUGUAGAAUGUGGUUUGUUACAUAGGUAUACAUGUGCCAUGGUGGUUUGCUGCACCCAUCAACCUGUCAUCUACAUUACGUAUUUCUCCUAAUGCUAUCCCUCCCCUAGCCCCCCUCCCCCGACAGGCCCAGUGUGUGAUGUUCCCCUCCCUGUGUCCAUGUGUACUCAUUAGAACAAAUUCUUUCAAAGCAUUAAUAUUAUAGGUAUAAUUAAUAAUGCUGUCUGGCCCAGCGCAGUGGCUCAUGCCUGUAAUCUCAGCACUUGGGGAGGCUGAGGUGGGUGGAUCACUUGAGGUCAGGAGUUUGAGACCAACCCAGCCAACAUGGUGAAACCCCGUCUCUAAUUUAAAAAACAACAGACAUUAGCCGGGUGUGGUGGCAGGCGCCUGGAGUCCCAGGUACUUGGGAGGCUGAGGCAGGAGAAUCGCUUGAACCCGGAAGGCAGAGGUUGCAGUGAGCCGAGAUCCUGCCACUGCAAUCCAGCCUGGGUGACAAAGUGAGACCUCAUUUCAAAAACAAACAAAAAAAGCAAAGUUAGUUGGAUGACCCAUAAACAAAGCCAGCAAAUUUUCAACUCCAACUCUUCUGACAAUCUGAUAUGGCUUCAAAAACUUUUGGUAUUGUUAAAUAAAAUGCUACUCCACUAUAAUACACAAUGACUCAGUACCUUAAAAUACCAUGUCAUCUCAUAUGACCUAGAAGGGUACAGUCUUCAUAAUAUUUGAGAUUUUCUAGGCACUCCUAGAGGGAAUUCUUAAGGUGAAUCCAGUUGAG